AAUUAGAGAAAUAAUAACUACUGAUGAAAUAUCUAUAUGAACUUAGUGGUAUUUUUUCAGUUCUAAAAAUGUUUAAAUCAUAUUUUCAUAUUUUGUUCUACAUAAAGUAAAAUUGACAUUCUAAGAAGUAGAAAAUGAAAUCCAAUUUUUUAUUGAAUUUAAUAUAUUUAGAGUAUGUGAUUAUGUAAAUAAUAGUACUCUAAAAAUAUUUAAAAUACACAUUCCACGUUUAACCUAUCGCUCUAAAAUUUGUAGAAAUCGAAAUCUAUAGAUUACUAUAAAUCUAAAACCUG
RNAcentral lists this long non-coding RNA (293 nucleotides) under Brassica napus (rape). RNAcentral describes it as "long non-coding RNA (BNAP_LNC002794)". Lineage: Eukaryota; Viridiplantae; Streptophyta; Magnoliopsida; Brassicales; Brassicaceae. The record is from RNAcentral.